GGCUGAGUAGCUCAGUUGGUAGAGCAGGGGAUUGAAAAUCCCCGUGUCGGCGGUUCGAUUCCGUCCUCAGCCACCA
RNAcentral lists this transfer RNA (76 nucleotides) under Rothia nasimurium. RNAcentral's name for it is "tRNA-Phe". It matches the Rfam family "tRNA". Rfam says of the family: Transfer RNA (tRNA) molecules are approximately 80 nucleotides in length. Their secondary structure includes four short double-helical elements and three loops (D, anti-codon, and T loops). The record is from RNAcentral. RNAcentral also lists the same sequence under 5 other names. Lineage: Bacteria; Bacillati; Actinomycetota; Actinomycetes; Micrococcales; Micrococcaceae.